UGGCAGUGCACCCUUUGCUCCUUCAGCUGC
This 30-nucleotide non-coding RNA is filed under the name Homo sapiens (human). Lineage: Eukaryota; Metazoa; Chordata; Mammalia; Primates; Hominidae. The record is from RNAcentral.